AAAGGUAGGAAUCGUAAGAGUGUACAGAAAUAAGUCACAUGCAGACCAUAUUGAAAUAUGCAGAGAAUUCCAUGGAGACUCUGAUGGCUAGGGCACCGUUGAGCUGUUGCAACUGUUCUGCUGGAGCCUUAUGUAUGUGAUUGAAACCACCUGUACUACUGGAAUGAAAGCACCUUUACAGAAGAGGCAAUGCAAGUUGUAUUAAUCACAUGUGUAGAAUGAAUUAAGAUUCAUUCCAGUUGCAAAGAAGAAUAUUGGCUCACUAUUUUUCCUCUGGGCAUAAAGAGACCUCAAGUAAACCUCCAGCAGCCAUCUGGACUUCCAUGAAAACAGAACAAUCAGUGAGAUGCAGAGCUUGGAGGAGACAGUUUCCAUAGACUGAAGCACGUGCUGAAGCAAAGUUCACACUUGCAGGAUUAGAAGAGGUUGACCAAAAGAAGGAAGGACAUGGACAGCUAUGUUGUUGUGGAGUCCUGUUUUAUAGUCAUAACCUUGAGUCAAGUGAGUUUGUCUGGACAGACAGAGUGUGUUGCCUUUACUUAUAGGGAAGGCACCGGACACAGACAGCCUCAAGGACAUUUGUUCUAGCCUUUCAGUAUCCUUUCUCUUAAUUAUCUCACCUCAUCCAUGAAGCUGGUAUGUACGAUUUUUCCUUUCUUUCUCAAUCCUUUAAAAAAUUAAAGCUCUAAAUCUCAUUUCCACUUAGAUUUUAACAUUGCAUUGUAACUUAAGAUAAAACCUUGCUCUGUUGUUAAAAAUACUAAAGUAAGAAGCAAUAUGGCAUAGUGCUUACGAGCAGGACUACAUAGUUCUUUCUGAAUACAAAUCUCAGAUAAAACACUAUCUCAGUGAUCAACCAGGUUAAGCAACCUUUUUAGUGCCUCAAUUAUUCCAUCUGUAAAAUUGUAAUAAUGAUAUACUAACCUAUAAGAUUGUGGUGAGGAUUAAGUCAGAUAAUAAAAAAGAAGCAUUCAGAGAAUUGCCUGGCAUUAUCUACCAUUUAUUGAAUUUUUAUGGUUAAGAAGAAUAAGGAAAAGCAGAAGAAAAGGAAAAGAGAAAAAAUACAUAAGAAGAAGGAAGAGUGGUAAGCUCUAAUAAAUUACAACAAACGGUAACGUGGAAAACAUUUGUUAGCCCUUAAUAUAGGCCAGGUACUGUGUUCAAUGCUUAAACCUCAUUACUGUUCUUUGAAGCGGAUAACAUUAUUCCUUCCAUUUUAAAGAAAGGAAUACUAAAGACAACUUAGUCAAUAUUAUUCAUGUAAUAAAUGACAGAAUUUGACCAAGACAAUAGAGAAUGAACUCUUAAUCACUAUAUUGUUUUAUUUUUUGAAAAUAGAUUUUAAGUUCUUAUUAAAUGUUAAUGACUCACAUCAAAAUAAAGCCAAUCAAAAUUGACAG
Long non-coding RNA from Pan troglodytes (chimpanzee), 1400 nucleotides. RefSeq lists it as uncharacterized. NCBI's taxonomy places the organism in Eukaryota, Metazoa, Chordata, Mammalia, Primates, Hominidae. The record is from RefSeq and is a predicted model, not a curated record. The transcript has 4 exons.